GCAGGGGUUGGGAGGUGGCGGUCAGGAGCCCCAGGGAUUCCUGGACAGUCGCCCCAUGCCGACCGCGCAGCCUCUUCUGCACAGAGACGCACAGCCACCCGCUCCGGGUUCUGAGCUCUAGCCCCGAGGAACUGCGGUGGAGGGAGGUGUAGGGACUCCCAGUCAUCGAUCAUUUCUGCUCAGCUCCUCCAGGGCUGAAGAGCUUGGGGGUGGCUGGUAAUUACAAACCUGGGGCCCUGACCUGGCCUCCGUCGGGGCCGGUGUCUCCGCACCCCACCCA
This 280-nucleotide long non-coding RNA is filed under the name Homo sapiens (human). RNAcentral describes it as "HSALNT0270562". The record is from RNAcentral. Lineage: Eukaryota; Metazoa; Chordata; Mammalia; Primates; Hominidae.